Molecule: ribosomal RNA, 253 nt
Filed under: uncultured bacterium
Lineage: Bacteria
Description: partial 16S ribosomal RNA
Rfam family: Bacterial small subunit ribosomal RNA
Source: RNAcentral
UACGUAGGGUGCAGGCGUUGUCCGGAAUUAUUGGGCGUAAAGAGCUCGUAGGCGGUUUGUUGCGUCGGCUGUGAAAUCCCGAGGCUCAACCUCGGGUCUGCAGUCGAUACGAGCAAACUAGAGUGUUGCAGGGGAGACUGGAAUUCCUGGUGUAGCGGUGAAAUGCGUAGAUAUCUGGAGGAACACCGGUGGCGAAGGCGGCAUCCUGGACCGACACUGACGCUGAGGAGCGAAAGCCAGGGGAGCAAACGGG